GUCGAGCGGUAGAGAGAAGCUUGCUUCUCUUGAGAGCGGCGGACGGGUGAGUAAUGCCUAUGAAUCUGCCUAGUGGUGGGGGAUAACGUUCGGAAACGGACGCUAAUACCGCAUACAUCCUACGGGAGAAGGCGGGGGACCUUCGGGCCUCGCGCCAUUAUAUGAGCCUACGUCGGAUUAGCUAGUUGGUGAGGUAAUGGGUCACCAAGGCUACGAUCCGUAACUGGUCUGAGAGGAUGAUCAGUCACACUGGAACUGAUACACGGUCCAGACUCCUACGGGAGGCAGCAGUGGGGAAUAUUGGACAAUGGGCGAAAGCCUGAUCCAGCCAUGCCGCGUGUGUGAAGAAGGUCUUCGGAUUGUAGAGCACUUUAAGUUGGGAGGAAGGGUAGUAACUUAAUACGUUGCUACUUUGACGUUACCGACAGAAUAAGCACCGGCUAACUUCGUGCCAGCAGCCGCGGUAAUACGAAGGGUGCAAGCGUUAAUCGGAAUUACUGGGCGUAAAGCGCGCGUAGGUGGUUCAGUAAGUUGGAAGUGAAAUCCCCGGGCUCAACCUGGGAACUGCUUUCAGAACUGCUGAACUAGAGUACGGUAGAGGGUAGUGGAAUUUCCUGUGUAGCGGUGAAAUGCGUAGAUAUAGGAAGGAACACCAGUGGCGAAGGCGACUACCUGGACUGAUACUGACGCUGAGGUGCGAAAGCGUGGGGAGCAGACAGGAUUAGAUACCCUGGUAGUCCACGCCGUAAACGAUGUCAACUACCCGUUGGGAGUCUUGAACUCUUAGUGGCGCGCCUCACGCGUUAAGUUGACCGCCUGGGGAGUACGGCCGCAAGGUUAAACGCCAACGAAUUGACGGGGGCCCGCGCAAACGGGGA
RNAcentral lists this ribosomal RNA (878 nucleotides) under Pseudomonas sp. RNAcentral describes it as "bacterial SSU rRNA". It matches the Rfam family "Bacterial small subunit ribosomal RNA", at positions 61 to 935 of the family's 1533-position model. Lineage: Bacteria; Pseudomonadati; Pseudomonadota; Gammaproteobacteria; Pseudomonadales; Pseudomonadaceae. The record is from RNAcentral.